GACGAACGCUGGCGGCGUGCUUAACACAUGCAAGUCGAACGGAAAGGCCCUGCUUUUGUGGGGUGCUCGAGUGGCGAACGGGUGAGUAACACGUGAGUAACCUGCCCUUGACUUUGGGAUAACUUCAGGAAACUGGGGCUAAUACCGGUUCGGAGCUCCUGCUGCAUGGUGGGGGUUGGAAAUUUUCGGAGGUUGGGGAUGGACUCGCGGCUUAUCAGCUUGUUGGUGGGGUAGUGGCUUACCAGGGCUUUGACGGGUAGCCGGCCUGAGAGGGUGACCGGCCACAUUAGGACGGAGAUGCGGCCCAGACUCCUACGGGAGGCAGCAGUGGGGAAUAUGGCACAAUGGGCGGAAGCCUGAUGCAGCAACGCCGCGUGCGGGAUGACGGCCUUCGGGUUGUAAACCGCUUUCGCCUGUGACGAAGCGUGAGUGACGGUAAUGGGUAAAGAAGCACCGGCUAACUACGUG
RNAcentral lists this ribosomal RNA (468 nucleotides) under uncultured bacterium. RNAcentral's name for it is "partial 16S ribosomal RNA". It matches the Rfam family "Bacterial small subunit ribosomal RNA", at positions 28 to 507 of the family's 1533-position model. The record is from RNAcentral.